This 1354-nucleotide long non-coding RNA is filed under the name Equus asinus (donkey). Its description in RNAcentral is "lncRNA (ENSEASG00005027164.1)". Lineage: Eukaryota; Metazoa; Chordata; Mammalia; Perissodactyla; Equidae. The record is from RNAcentral.
UUUUAAAAGCUCCCCAGCUGAAUCUAAUGUGCAACUCAGACUGAGAACCUUUCUGUUAAGCCUUUAAAGGACAAACAGAAUUUCCUCAUGAACUGCAUUUGGAGGCUGCAUUUAAUUAUCAUCUGUUUUCAGUCUUUCAUAGAGCCAGUUUGUUAUCAAAAAUAUAAGUUUUCCAAUGUGGCCUGAUCAAUGUAACCUACACUGCAUCCGAUUCUUCCUCUGAUCUGAAUGCUGGGCUUCCAUAAAUGUGGCUGAAGACAGCUUUAGCUUUAAAUUUUUUUUUUUUUUCCGGCAGCUUUCCCAAUCUGUCGGUUCAUUGGGCUUAUGAAAGAACGGAACCUUCUGGUUUUUUCACAUACGCUGCUGUUGAAACGGUCUCCUCUAUCAGGUGGCUCCUGGUUUGGUGUGGAUGCCUUACACGUAAAAGGAUGAUGGAGUCCGAUAUGGUGACCCUGGACAAACCUCUUCCCUUUGUGCCUCACUCGUCCCCUCUGUAAAAUGGGAUGACUCUCCUACAGUUGCUGUGAGGAAUAAUGUGAUGGUGAAAGUCAGCCAACCCUACAACACGCUCUCCAAAAAUAAGGGGUUGUUCUACUUCAGGGGCCGUUCUCCUGAAACAAAGGAGUCUCAGAUUGUCUGUGUCUCUAGAACUUUCUCUCUGCAGCUGCCCCAGCAAGAAAAACCAGCAUUUUAGCUCAGACUCCUUCCCUGGAAGCCUUGGCUUUUUGAGCUGAAGGGUCAUUGAAAGACCAGACGGCAGAGAAGCCUUUUAGGUUACUGUUUCCAGAAGCUCCGUGGUUCCGUUAGAAACCCCAGUGCCCUGCAGAAGUGAAGGUCCUAAUUCUUGGACAAAACUGACAUGAGGAAUGUUUUGAGGAAAUGGCUUGGAGAUGUGGUCCUUUACCACAUAUCAGAGAUCAGACUCCUGGAAAUCACAGCCAUCUGGAUACUACUUCUGGGUAGUGCAGUUUGGUUACCGUCUACCCGACAUGCCUGCCCACGAGCCUCUCAGGAAGAAUUUCAGGGUGGAGCAGACGCUCCAAUCCAGGACCUAUUUCUCUCCCUUUAGAUACAAUUCUAAGAAGCUUCAUUUUAUUUUGGCAACCAACUGAAAAUAUGAAACAAAAUCAGAAGGAACAGGUGGACUGGAAACAGGAAAAGGGAUGGAUGACAGCUAUAUGAUCAAGCAGAAAGCAGAAGAAAAAUGGGAAGCAGAGCCAAGAACUAGGUGAGGCACAGAAUCCAGUAUAAAUUGUUGUAGAGGCCAAGAAGCUUCCUCUUCCUCUUAGCGGAUGCAUCAGGCUCGCCUGUUGACCUGCCUUAUCCACCAUAUCUAUGAGGUACACGCUAUGUU